RNAcentral lists this ribosomal RNA (253 nucleotides) under uncultured prokaryote. RNAcentral describes it as "partial 16S ribosomal RNA". It matches the Rfam family "Bacterial small subunit ribosomal RNA", at positions 524 to 776 of the family's 1533-position model. The record is from RNAcentral.
UACGGGGGGUGCGAGCGUUGUCCGGAAUCACUGGGCGUAAAGGGCGCGUAGGUGGUUUGAUAAGGGUGUGGUGAAAGUCCGGGGCUCAACCCCGGAUCUGCCGUGCCGACUGUCAAACUCGAGGGCUGUAGAGGCAGACGGAAUUCCGGGUGUAGCGGUGGAAUGCGUAGAGAUCCGGAGGAAGACCGGUGGCGAAGGCGGUCUGCUGGGCAGUUCCUGACACUGAGGCACGAAGGCCAGGGGAGCAAACGGG